RNAcentral lists this ribosomal RNA (307 nucleotides) under uncultured eukaryote. RNAcentral describes it as "partial 18S ribosomal RNA". It matches the Rfam family "Eukaryotic small subunit ribosomal RNA", at positions 1470 to 1796 of the family's 1831-position model. The record is from RNAcentral.
CCCUUAGACGUUCUGGGCCGCACGCGCGCUACACUGACGAAGGCAACGAGCUUUCCUUUACCGAAAGGUACGGGUAAUCUUUUGAAACUUUGUCGUGCUGGGGAUAGAUCCUUGCAAUUUUUGAUCUUAAACGAGGAAUGCCUAGUAAGCGCAAGUCAUCAACUUGCGUUGAUUACGUCCCUGCCCUUUGUACACACCGCCCGUCGCUACUACCGAUUGAAUGGUUUAGUGAGGCCUUCGGAUCCGCGACUCGUUUGUGGAGAAGUUGGACAAACUCAGUCAUUUAGAGGAAGUAAAAGUCGUAACA